CUACGGGUUGCUGCAGUGAGGAAUAUUGGGCAAUGCCCGCAAGGGUGACCCAGCAACGCCGCGUGGAGGAUGAAUGCCGUAAGGUUGUAAACUCCUGUUAGAGGGGACGAAUGAUUCCGAUUGUAUCGGAAGUUGACUGUACCCUCAGAGAAAGCCCCGGCUAACUACGUGCCAGCAGCCGCGGUAAUACGUAGGGGGCAAGCGUUGUCCGGAUUUACUGGGUGUAAAGGGCGCGCAGGUGGGCUUGAUAGUUAGAGGUGAAAUCCUGUGGCUUAACUGCAGAACUGCCUUUAAUACUUCAAGUCUUGAGUGCGGAAGAGAGAGACGGAAUUCCAGGUGUAGUAGUGAAAUACGUAGAUAUCUGGAAGAACACCAGUUGCGAAGGCGGUCUCUUGGUCCGUAACUGACACUUAGGCGCGAAAGCGUGGGGAGCAAACAGGAUUAGAUACCCUUGUAGUC
RNAcentral lists this ribosomal RNA (459 nucleotides) under uncultured bacterium. Its description in RNAcentral is "partial 16S ribosomal RNA". It matches the Rfam family "Bacterial small subunit ribosomal RNA", at positions 339 to 795 of the family's 1533-position model. The record is from RNAcentral.